GCAAGUCGAGCGAAAAGGUUUUGAAUGAUUCUUCGGAUGAAUGAUAAACUGGACAGCGGCGGACGGGUGAGUAACGCGUGGGUAACCUGCCUUAUACUGGGGGAUAACGUUUUGAAAAGAACGCUAAUACCGCAUAAGCGCACAGUAUCGCAUGAUACAGUGUGAAAAACUCCGGUGGUAUAAGAUGGACCCGCGUCUGAUUAGCUAGUUGGUGAGAUAAAAGCUCACCAAGGCGACGAUCAGUAGCCGACCUGAGAGGGUGAUC
Molecule: ribosomal RNA, 265 nt
Filed under: uncultured bacterium
Lineage: Bacteria
Description: partial 16S ribosomal RNA
Rfam family: Bacterial small subunit ribosomal RNA
Source: RNAcentral